Molecule: ribosomal RNA, 292 nt
Filed under: uncultured bacterium
Lineage: Bacteria
Description: partial 16S ribosomal RNA
Rfam family: Bacterial small subunit ribosomal RNA
Source: RNAcentral
GUGUCAGCAGCCGCGGUAAUACAGAGGGUGCGAGCGUUAAUCGGAAUUACUGGGCGUAAAGCGCACGUAGGCGGCUUGGUAUGUCGGGUGUGAAAUCCCCGGGCUCAACCUGGGAACUGCAUCCGAAACUGCCUUGCUAGAGUAUGGGAGAGGGAAGUGGAAUUUCCGGUGUAGCGGUGAAAUGCGUAGAUAUCGGAAGGAACAUCAGUGGCGAAGGCGACUUCCUGGACCAAUACUGACGCUCAGGUGCGAAAGCGUGGGGAGCAAACAGGAUUAGAUACCCUGGUAGUCC